Molecule: transfer RNA, 71 nt
Filed under: Heterocephalus glaber (naked mole-rat)
Lineage: Eukaryota; Metazoa; Chordata; Mammalia; Rodentia; Bathyergidae
Rfam family: tRNA
About the family: Transfer RNA (tRNA) molecules are approximately 80 nucleotides in length. Their secondary structure includes four short double-helical elements and three loops (D, anti-codon, and T loops). Further hydrogen bonds mediate the characteristic L-shaped molecular structure. tRNAs have two regions of fundamental functional importance: the anti-codon, which is responsible for specific mRNA codon recognition, and the 3' end, to which the tRNAs corresponding amino acid is attached (by aminoacyl-tRNA synthetases). tRNAs cope with the degeneracy of the genetic code in two manners: having more than one tRNA (with a specific anti-codon) for a particular amino acid; and 'wobble' base-pairing, i.e. permitting non-standard base-pairing at the 3rd anti-codon position.
Source: Rfam by way of RNAcentral
AGAGAUGUAGCUCAGUGGUGGGGCAUUUGCCUAGCAUGUAUGAGGCCUGGGUUCAAUCCUCAGUAUCACAA